GUUCAGCAUAAGUUACCACAACGAUUUAACCCGGUAACAAGUGAUCUGCCAUCAUGAUGCACAAAACCCUGGGUUGAACCUAAAGUUACCUCGUUAACGCCAAAUCUUGCUUCGUAGUACAGGCCUCAAAGUGGCCAAAAAACAAUAAUCAAGAGGUAAAUCAGUAAUGAAAAUAAUCACUAGUUGCAGCCCUAUUUCACCACUGAGAGUUAGCUGGUAAUGUAGCAUAAAAAGAAAAAGUACUCUUGCUAUGGUUUAUUAUACCUUGCGCACUGAUUUAUAUAUAAUGUUGGUUAAGGUGUUGACCAGAACUCUGUCUGAGAUGUCCUGUUAUGUGAUUAAUGGAUACCUGACAGCAAACCAGAAACAUGUAUCUUCGAAAUCCUUUCAACCCAUAUCCUUGUUUGGAUUGUUUCAAGUCAUUGUCUUUCUAACAUGUUUUCAAGUGGAGAAUCUAUUAAAUGAAAAUGUUGAUAUGAUUCCCAACAUUUGCAUGAUUUGGUACGCAGCAGUAGGAAACAGCUGGGCUGCUCCCACCCUGAAUAUUAUGUCCAAAUGGCCUCGAGGGAAAUGAGGCGAGUCAUGAGCACUUCCACACGCCUUAUUAUAAUACUGUAUUAAACUGUGUAAUUUGUAUGUAUUUGUGUGUGUUUGCAUAGUGACUUAUGGCCCCGUUUUGUGCAUGUUCAUAUGUCUUGUACAUAGAAUACUGUAAGUAUUUGACUGACACUGUGUGUAAUGUGGUAACCUUACAAUACAAACACCACUCUGUCUAACAGUAUCACUGUAACUGUAAUGUUGCUGUAACAUUUGUCGUUAACUAACCUACCUUUUCCACUCACACAAGUUUUUUUUGUAAGUGUCGUCAUUGCACUGGAUGCGUCCGAGAGAAAACAACCAGAAAGGAUAACGUCUGGGAAAAUGAAACAAAUAGAAAAAACUUUUUAAGGCGAGCAGGAUGGAGGCAGAGAAUGAGAAGAGGGAGGUCUUCUGCUUUUGUUUUUUGUUUCCCAGUGCCUUGGCUCUGUGCUCUGUGGUGAAAUACACUGCCGUUUGCUGACAUGCUGUUUCUCUAUUUUUUCAGUGUGGGCGCCUGUGUGUGUUUGUAUAUGGCAAAGCAAGAGGUCAAGAUAUUCUGCGUUGGAAAGUGAAAAGUGGUAGAAAGAUUACCAGAGCUGGGUAACAGAGGGAGAAGGCAAAGGAUUUUCAUAAAUGUUUUGAGUUCAUGAAGGAGAGAAAAAAUAUGUUUUUUUAAUAAACAUAUAAUAUGUUUUCUUUAUAAGUCUUGGGGCAGUAUAGUUGAGGUCAUACUGAUGUAUAGCCCGGAGGCUAACUGUAGGCUUUCACCACAUAAUGUAAUAUGAAGCUCAUCACUCUCGCUGGGUAUAAGCGUGAAGCUGAAGUCGGGCGAUAUCUUCGUUACCCAGCAGAGUCUGACCUUUGCUUUGGCUUUUAAUCAGAGGAGCUCUGAUACAUAACAGACUGCAAGUCUCAAGAGAGAGGGAGGGAGCCCAGAAACAACUAGACCAAAGUUUUAGCGUUGUUUCAGAAAUCACAUAGUUAACAUAGAUUUUAUUUACACAGGAAGUGAGUAGAAUGUAAUUCAAGGUCCACACACACACACACACACACACACACACACACACACACACCAGCGUAUACUGGAUCUCUGCAACCAAAAAAAGACAGAAAUGACCCUGUGAAUGGGAAGGCACAGACUGGGGGAGGGACAGACAAAGGGAGGAAGAGAGAAUACAAGAAAAAGUAAGAGGAUAGAGGGAGGGAGGGAAGGAGGGAGGAGGGAGAGAGGUCAUGUUUCCUCUGUUGAGCCCACUUCCUGUCCUGAUCCCAAAAUGGAGAGACUGUAUGAACGACAUCCCUCUGCCUGUUUCAGUCUCCACACACACACACACACACACACGCACGCACACACACACACACACACACACACACACACACACACACACACACACACACACACAGAAACCCAAACCAGCCUCCUGCGGUAUCCUACAAAGGAGAUGAGAGGAAAAAGCAGGGAGCAGAAAAAUAUAUCCCCAGUGGUCUCUGAAACAUAAGAAAGCCUUCGUUUAUAGAGGCAGAGAGACGCUGAACAUUUUGUCCUCAAGUUGCACCACACCAUAUGUGUUACGUGUGGCCUAUGUCUCUGUGUGUGUGUGUGUGUGUGUGUGUGUGUGUGUGUGUGUGUGUGUGUGUGUGUGUGUGUGUGUGUGUGUGUGUGUGUGUGUGUGUCUGAAAUAUGAGACCUGCUGUAUCGUCUCCAAUGUAUGUAUGAGUGGUUCCUCAACCAGACAGCGCACAGCUCAUCUAAAUAUUCAUGAGCAUACCAUAUUUGGAAGAAAAGCUGUCGUUCCAAAUAGAGCCAUUACACAGGGAUGCAUAAGGGCCAAAAAAAA
Sander lucioperca (pikeperch) is the source of this 2417-nucleotide long non-coding RNA. RefSeq lists it as uncharacterized. The transcript has 2 exons. The record is from RefSeq and is a predicted model, not a curated record. Lineage: Eukaryota; Metazoa; Chordata; Actinopteri; Perciformes; Percidae.